This is a non-coding RNA of Arachis ipaensis, 172 nucleotides long. Lineage: Eukaryota; Viridiplantae; Streptophyta; Magnoliopsida; Fabales; Fabaceae. The record is from RefSeq and is a predicted model, not a curated record.
AAGAGAAAGCUUAUAUAAAUAGCAUAUGAAACAACUAGCUCAAGUUCUUGGAAGUGAGGAAGAGGCUAAGAAGAAGAUAUACUCUGUUUCCACUACUUGGCGCCCUCAUUUCCGAAGAGCUUUCUUACAAAGUUAAAGCAUUUUUGAUAUCACAAUUACUUUGUAUUUAAAA